RNAcentral lists this transfer RNA (72 nucleotides) under Dipodomys ordii (Ord's kangaroo rat). It matches the Rfam family "tRNA". From Rfam's summary of the family: Transfer RNA (tRNA) molecules are approximately 80 nucleotides in length. Lineage: Eukaryota; Metazoa; Chordata; Mammalia; Rodentia; Heteromyidae. The record is from Rfam by way of RNAcentral.
GUGAAGUUGGCUCAGUGGUAGAGCACUUGCCUUGCAUGCAUAAGGCCCUGGGUUCGAUUCCUCAGCACCACA